CAAUAGCGUAUAUUAAAGUUGUUGCAGUUAAAAAGCUCGUAGUUGGAUUUCUGGUAGGAGUGACCGUUCCGAACUUGAUUGUUCGUGUAUUGUGUUUUCUCCAGCCAUCCUUGUGGAGAACUUUUCUUGCAUUAAUUUGUAGGGAUUGGGACCCGCAUCGUUUACUGUGAAAAAAUUAGAGUGUUUAAGGCAGGCAAUCGCUUGAAUACAUUAGCAUGGAAUAAUAAGAUAGGACUUUGGUACUAUUUUGUUGGUUUGCAUACCAAAUUAAUGAUCAACAGGAACAGUUUGAGGAUAUUCGUAUGAACAUGUCAGAGGUGAAAUUCUUGGAUUUUGAUCAGACGAACUACUGCGAAAGCAUUUAUCAAGGAUGUUUUCAUUAA
Molecule: ribosomal RNA, 383 nt
Filed under: uncultured eukaryote
Lineage: Eukaryota
Description: partial 18S ribosomal RNA
Rfam family: Eukaryotic small subunit ribosomal RNA
Source: RNAcentral